Molecule: unclassified non-coding RNA, 1514 nt
Filed under: Melitaea cinxia (Glanville fritillary)
Lineage: Eukaryota; Metazoa; Arthropoda; Insecta; Lepidoptera; Nymphalidae
Description: misc RNA ENSMCXG00005008989.1
Source: RNAcentral
UAAAUAAUUUCACAUGGCAACAGUAUUAAUCAAAUCAAAAUUUAAUUAUUUCCUUUAAAAUAUAUCACGCGCCGUUACGGCCGUCCUGCAUCUUCACACGUCCUUGUGUGUAUCCUCGAAAGUUUUUGAAAACAAAGCCAAACAUGUUGUUAAUACUUGUAUGCUCGGUCAUACUGACCAACUAAAUAAAGUGACGUUAUGCUGCACAGGCACAUAACGCACUUAGGCUGCUAUGCCAUACAGCAUAUUUUGCCACACAGGCUACUUUACCACACAGGCUAUACAGCAUAUUUUGCCACACAGGCUACUAUACCACACAAGCUAUUAUGCCACACAGGUUACUAUACCACACAAGCUAUUAUGCCACACAGGCUAUUUUGUUUACACAGGUUACUAUGUCACACAAGCUAUUAUGCCACAGAGGCUAUUAUGCGACACAGGCUACUAUGUCACACAGGCUAUUAAGCCACACAGGCUACUAUCACAUAAACUGUGGUUUAUCACAAGAAAUCACAGACCUACCAUCGCCGUUAUCGGCACGUCCUGACUCUGCAUCAAUAGGUAUUUUGUAGGCGUUAACUACCGCGAGAGUUUCCAACUCAUAUGAAACCUAGACUCAGCGGAGUUUUGUACGACGGCUGUGAUAUUCGACCACAUGAGUCUUGCCUGCGAAUUUCUGUAUCAGUAUCGCCCCAUAUCCAUCAACGCUGGCAUCAGUGUGGACUCCAUUAGGUUUUUCGGGGUCAAAUAUGGUAAGAACUGGUCUAUCAGUCAGUACGCUUAUAAUAUCUUUUCUAAUUUUCUCAAAAGGCGGCGUCUAGGUGAUUUUACCCUUACCUGAAGUAAGCCUGUACAAAGGAGCGAUUUCUUGAGAGAAAUCAGGCACAAACUGUCGAAAAUACGAAGCCAAGCCUAUAAAUUGUCGGAGUUGAGUAACGGUUUGGGGAGGCGGUAGUUCAGUCAAAGCCUUUAUUUUACGCGAGUUUGGUCGAACUUCACCAGUAAAUACUUCAAACUCCAAAAAUUCAACCGUAGUUUUCAAAAAAGAGCAUUUUUUUUUAAUUUAUUGCAAAGCCACACUUUGUUAAAGCCUUAAGAGCUUUGCGUAGUUUAUCAAUACCUUAAUCUACUGUGCGGGAUGGAAUAAGGACGUCAUCGAUGUAUGUCGCAGCAAAGGUCUCAUUAGGGGGCAAAAGAGCUUUAUUUAUAGCACGUUGAUACACUGAAGGUGUAUUACGGAGACCAAAGGGCAUGGAGAGUUAUUCAAACUGUCCGUCGGGAGUAACAAAAGCGGUACGCUCGAUCGAGUCCUCGUUAACAGGUAUCUGAUGGAAACCGCUUGCCAUAUCUAAUGACGUAAAAUAGUGAGCUGCCACCAAUCUCUGAAAUUGAUCCGAUAUCAAUGGUAGUGGGUAACGAUCAGGCACAGUGUUACUGUUUAACUCCCGAUAGUCCACACACAAGCGUUCAGUUCCAUCCGUUUUCUUUAUCAGUAGGAUUGGACUAAAAAAAAG